Molecule: unclassified non-coding RNA, 625 nt
Filed under: Melitaea cinxia (Glanville fritillary)
Lineage: Eukaryota; Metazoa; Arthropoda; Insecta; Lepidoptera; Nymphalidae
Description: misc RNA ENSMCXG00005006935.1
Source: RNAcentral
UUUUUACUUUUUGCAGGUAUAAUGCACACUACCAUCUGUUUCAAGCUGUUAAUUUAAUGCAUGUUAUGUAGUUAACAGCCGACUGCUGUAAUAUCCGUCCUAGCAGGUAAAUUUACUUAUAAUUAGUUAAAAAAAUAAGAGUCGACUUAGAGGUCAACUCUUCAGAAAUUGCUUAGAUAAAAUGAUGAUAAUAUGAAAACGCGUCGUCGCAGCAGUCACAGUAGCUACUAGUUCCCGCCAAGACAGACAUUUGUUCGCCAUAAUAUGGAUGUUUUUCGUUGUUUGGGCGUUUGUGCUUAUGUAUUGUUUGUAAAAUUCUACUGGGGGCUGUUGAGUUUGAAGCGUUUAUAAAAAGAAAAAAAAAAAUAAAUCGCGUAAAAUCGUGUUUAUAUGUGUGAAGCUGCAUAAUGGUAAUAAUUCUUCAAUUGCGCUCAUAAUCAGUUGUCUUUAGUUCCCAAUCGACAAAACAAGUACAAGAACAGUCGUUUGUGAAUAAUACACUUACAUACAUAUGUUAUAUUUUUUUUAACUAGCUGUGCUCGCAACUUCGUCCGCGUGGGAUUUAACAAAAAGUUAUUGUUUUGUUCGCAGAGUUAUAAAAUAAAUAAAUUUCUAAAAUAAAAGU